CCUACGGGAGGCAGCAGUGAGGAAUAUUGGUCAAUGGACGCAAGCCUGAACCAGCCAUGCCGCGUGCAGGAAGACGGCUCUAUGAGUUGUAACCUGCUUUUGUACAGGGGUAAACGCAGGUACGCGUAGCUUUCUGAAAGUAUCGUACGAAUAAGGAUCGGCUAACUCCGUGCCAGCAGCCGCGGUAAUACGGAGGAUCCAAGCGUUAUCCGGAUUUAUUGGGGUUAAAGGGUGCGUAGACGGGUUGUUAAGUUAGAUGUGAAAGCUCGAGGCUCAACUUCAGAAUUGCAUUUGAUACUGUUCGGCUAGAGUGUAGUUGAGGUAGGCGGAAUGUGUGGUGUAGCGGUGAAAUGCUUAGAUAUCAUGAAGAACACCGAUUGCGAAGGCAGCUUACUAAACUACUACUGACGUUGAGGCACGAAAGCGUGGGGAGCAAACAGGAUUAGAUACCCCUGUAGUC
This 460-nucleotide ribosomal RNA is filed under the name uncultured bacterium. Its description in RNAcentral is "partial 16S ribosomal RNA". It matches the Rfam family "Bacterial small subunit ribosomal RNA", at positions 338 to 795 of the family's 1533-position model. The record is from RNAcentral.